AGUGAACGCUGGCGGUAGGCCUAACACAUGCAAGUCGAACGGCAGCACAGUAAGAGCUUGCUCUUACGGGUGGCGAGUGGCGGACGGGUGAGGAAUACAUCGGAAUCUACUUUUUCGUGGGGGAUAACGUAGGGAAACUUACGCUAAUACCGCAUACGACCUACGGGGGAAAGCAGGGGAUCUUUGGACCUUGCGCGAGUGAAUGAGCCGAUGUCGGAUUAGCUAGUUGGCGGGGUAAAGGCCCACCAAGGCGGCGAUCCGUAGCUGGUCUGAGAGGAUGAUCCGCCACACUGGAACUGAGACACGGUCCAGACUCCUACGGGAGGCCGCAGUGGGGAAUAUUGGGCGAUGGGCGCAAGCCUGAUCCAGCCAUACCGCGUGGGUGAAGAAGGCCUUCGGGUUGUAAAGCCCUUUUGUUGGGAAAGAAAAGCAGCAGGUUAAUACCCCGCUGUUCUGACGGUACCCAAAGAAUAAGCACCGGCUAACUUCGUG
RNAcentral lists this ribosomal RNA (492 nucleotides) under uncultured bacterium. RNAcentral describes it as "partial 16S ribosomal RNA". It matches the Rfam family "Bacterial small subunit ribosomal RNA", at positions 29 to 507 of the family's 1533-position model. The record is from RNAcentral.